GUCUAUGACCAUGCCACUCUGAAUAAACCUGAUGUCUGAUCUUGGAAGCUAAGCAGGGUCAGACCUGGUUAGUACUUGGAUGGGAGGCCACAUAGGAAGACCAGGUGCUGUAGGCA
Molecule: ribosomal RNA, 116 nt
Filed under: Pteropus alecto (black flying fox)
Lineage: Eukaryota; Metazoa; Chordata; Mammalia; Chiroptera; Pteropodidae
Source: RNAcentral